RNAcentral lists this ribosomal RNA (253 nucleotides) under uncultured bacterium. RNAcentral describes it as "partial 16S ribosomal RNA". It matches the Rfam family "Bacterial small subunit ribosomal RNA", at positions 524 to 776 of the family's 1533-position model. The record is from RNAcentral.
UACGUAGGUGACCAGCGUUGUCCGGAUUUACUGGGCGUAAAGAGCGCGCAGGCGGUCGUUCAAGUCGAGUGUGAAAGCCCCCGGCUCAACUGGGGAGGGUCACUCGAUACUGAUCGACUGGAAGGCAGGAGAGGGAAGCGGAAUUCCCGGUGUAGUGGUGAAAUGCGUAGAUAUCGUGAGGAAGACCAGUGGCGAAGGCGAAUCUCUGGACAGUUCCUGACGCUCAUGCACGAAGGCCAGGGGAGCAAACGGG